This 1113-nucleotide long non-coding RNA is filed under the name Notechis scutatus (mainland tiger snake). RNAcentral describes it as "lncRNA (ENSNSUG00000005192.1)". Lineage: Eukaryota; Metazoa; Chordata; Lepidosauria; Squamata; Elapidae. The record is from RNAcentral.
AGGGGUCAAUACCUGUUGCUCCAGAUUUCACGCCCCCUUCCUUUGCAGUCACGCCCUUUGAUUACCAGCCCCAUGGCUUCAAGGAAGGCGAAAGCUCAGAUGGUCUUCUUUUUGAUGGUGACCCUGUGAACCUCAAAGUAGGAUCUGUUUCCACUGGAUUCCAUGUGUUGAAAGUGAAGGUCACAACAGACAGCAAAAGGAUGGGGAUGCUGGAGAACAGUCUAGUGGAAGAGAAUGGUCCCACUGAAAUCUCCCACCAAGGUUUAGACUGUGAUGAUGAUGAUGAAGAAGAGGACAGCAAUAAAAGGAAGUUUAUGGCUGCUUGCGUGGAUAAAAAUAGGAUGUUUGAAGAAAAUGCAAUGUCACAGCACAUGCCCCCUUUGAAUCCAGAUAGAACAGAAACAAUCAGAAAGGAUGGAGCUGAAGAGACAGAGACAGAGAAAGAAUGCGGUACUAAGACACCUCACAAAGUCCAAGAAAAACGUCCUUCUAAACUCUCAUUGGAAACCAGAAUGACAUGGCAAAUGGACUUUGCUUCCAGCCAAGAAAACACGAGUGCACCAAAGAAGAAGAAAAAGAAAGUCAGCACAACACUUGAUUUGAUUCUUGCCCCUCAAAAGUUAUGACAGCCUCAGAAGCAAUAGCUAUAGCUGUAAUGCACCUGAACAGUAGUAUCUGAUCUGUUACCUACUUUGGGUAAAUUUCUACAGACAGCAUAUAUUUGGGACAAUGGCAACUUUGAGCCCAGUUGGAAUAGGGAAAAAAUGGGGCCCUAUUAGCUCAGCUGCCUUGAAGCUAUAUAAACAUUUUGCCAUUUGUGAAGGCAUCUUUCAUUCUUGUCUUUGAUAAAAAUUUAUGUCAAUGUAAUGAGAUUGUAUCACCCUGUCAGUUAACAGUUUAUACUAUAUAAAUACAGUUUAUAAUAUAUAAAUACUAAAUACAGCUAAACUAUAGGACGGUACCUUUGUAUCAUUGUGCUUCCCUGGGCACAAAAUUUCCAGAGAUGUUUGUUGUGGAUUAUUUUACAUGGAGGAGAAUACAUUGGAGAUGUGUUUGUGUUCUGUGUGUUCUCCCGUUUUCUCUUUAUUUUUUAAUAAAUACAGAAGAACCACA